AUGGUUUUACGCUUUCUUAUAGUGUGUUUAUGCCAGAUGUCUGUGUAUGUGGUGUUUGUGUUUUUUUCUUCUUUUUACAGUUUUGAUCAAGAGGGACACUUCCUUCUCACUGGGUCCUCAGAUUCACAUAUCUAUGUACUAGAUGCAAAGCCAUCAAAGGGGUUUUCAGUAAUAGGAUUCACAGUUGUUCCUGGACCGGUUCUGUCGCUGUCCACUCAGUGCAUCAGGGACUGUGAGCAGGUGAAAGUUCUUGUGCUGUGCACUGGACAGGAGGGCAAAAAUCAUGAUGGUAGCCUGCUCACGAUGCUCUCUCUGCCGGAGAGGGACCUUACAGGUAACACUGGUGACAUACAUUGAUCUAUGACUUAUUCUCUUUUUAAUUGUUUUUUUUUUUUUUGGCACCUGUUUAACCUUGUUAAUCACAGGCUGUCAUGCAAUUACCUUUUGCACAGCCAGAAGAGAGAUAACUUUUUAUAAAAGAGGUUGAGGGUCUCAUGCAAUAAAUUAUUCAUAGGGUCAUGCGGUGAUAUUGAUCUAAAGCAAGACAUUCGGACAGAAGCUCAGGGGGUCCACUGCAGACAUGGGAGAAGUGAAGAAUCUACUUUGCAACUUGCACCAAAUGAGUUAAUGAAUCAUCAUCUCCUGCAGGUGAGGAGAGAUUUACAAGGUGAUUAAACCAAAAGCCAAGGAUUGUACUAGUCGGUAGAAAUUAACUGAGUAAUAAUGGCCUGCGGCUUGCUACGGUUACAAAAUGUGUAAGCAGCAACUAAAGAAGUUGCAGUUUUCUGGCUUUCCGUUCUCUUUGUUUUAACUCUGGGAAUCUCAUCAUUCAUCCAUGGAUGUGCUUUGACAGUGGACAUGCUUCCAAAGAGAAAACCCCAUCCACAGACAUUAGCAUAAACCAUUAAUAGUACUCAACUGGACAUUUUGAUCCAAAUGUUUAGACAUGUCGUCACUUACACUGUUGAAAAGAAAGAAAAGUGUCUGGGGGUUUACAGAAACACACGCUCUCUUUAUACUGCCUGGAAAACUAUGUUGAACAAGAUAGACCAUGAGACAGAUGGGUCUUUAAAAGGAAAGAAACAUUUGGUCAGACGGGAGUUGUGCCCACACAGGUUAAAUGGGAUUAUUAAACAUGAUUUUAGUGUGUGCUACCUACAUGAUAGUUAAAGAGCCACUCCAGACAUGUUUUAAGAAGUAAAAAAGACUGUUCUUUAUGAUAUGCAUUUUCUCAGAAAAGGUUGAAUCAUUUUGUAAAAGAAAGAAAGACUCUGCACACACUGUCCUAUGAAGUAAGCCAAGGAAGGCCAAGAAAGUACUUCAGAGAAAAGUCUGAGGAUAAAUUGUAUAAUUGUCUAAUGCUUAAAUUGAUACAGCUCUUCUACUCUACAAACAAAGGUGCCAUUGACUGAAGAAUCCCUCAGUAUUAUUGUAGAUAUGUGGAUGCAGGAUUUGCAGGCGCUCUGCAGUAAUCAUGACUAUAGACCUGGAAUUGUUUAGAACAUAAACAUGAAAAGGAGCCUGACUGUUUCUAUUGACUUAUUUAUUUACAUUUUACCAUCAGUGUUUUCACUUGCAACAUUUUGUGAUGGCGGGCCGUCACGGAAAUCCUCGCUGUUAUAGCAAUUGGGGGGAAAGAAAAAUCUAAAGUCAACAAACACAUUCCACGAUUAAUCAUCUGAACCACUUCCUCAAAAUGUAAAAAGUUGUUGCUGGGCAGUUUUGCUACUCCCUCCCCCCUCAAACUACCCUGCCGAAAGAGAGGAAGAGGCAGUGAGACAGGAGAUGUGACUCGUGAUUAUCAUAAUUUAUAAAACAUGAAGUGUGGUGAGGGUACAGCCAUUUCAACAUUUUAUACACAAGAUCUUUUAAGGUGAAUGAAACACUGAAAAUAUUUAUUAUGUGACUCUGACCUGCAGGUCUAGACUGUGUAGACCGGCAUGGUUGCCUGUCUCCUCACAUCGUCAAAGUGUCCAGAUACGAAGUGCCUCAUCCACUUCAAUCCUGUGUCCUGGGAGUCAGCGGGGUCUUUGCUUACUGCCACAAGAAGAAAACUCUUCAGCGAUUUCAGCUCCCUCAGGUUUACUGCUGCUAAUGUUUCUGAUACUUGUAAACAUAAUUCUCUGUCUUCAUUCACCUGAAAUAUCAUUGAUGCAUUUAAUCUGGGUGUUAACACACAUUAAAUCAUUAUCCUUUUCUAUGUACAGGACACAGACUCCAGUCAGCUGGUGGUCCACCUGAGACCAGAGCAGGAAGUGCGGGGUCAUCCUCUGGGCCCUGCCUCUCUUGUUCUGUCUCCUCACCAGUUAUGGCUCACUUCUGUGGGUCGAGAUGGCCUGCUACGCAUCCGAGAAACUGCUUCCAUGGUGGCUGCUCAUUUUAUUUUGUUACACUUUAUUCUUGUAAACAUUUGAGUCAUGUUUUCAUUGUCUGUUGUGUGUAUAACAACGGUUUUGCUGCCACUACAGGAGCGGUAUAUUGAGCUGCAGUGUCAUUCAUGCCGUGAUGGUGGAGUUCGGAGUGUGUCCUUCUCUGCAGACAGCCAGACGCUCCUCACAACUGGCUUUAACGAUGGGUCCCUUGUGUGUGCCAAUCUCAGGUAAAGCAGAAAGCAGCCUGUCUUACAAAGUGCACCACUGCGAACAGUAGAGGGAACUGUUGCUCGCAGGAGUAAUGUCACUCUUCUGCAGUUUGAGUAAACAUAGACCAGUUUUCAAAAAGAGUAUUCCCUCUCUCUGUAUCGACUCUGUGGAUCACUAGUAAAUAAACACAACUAAAGUGGUAAGCUGGGGGUGUUCAUGGUCAUAAUUUUGAGGAAAACAACGAUCCAAUGAAUUUAACAGCACAAUCUCCACACUGAAUCAGAUCCCACUCACAUUCCACAUCUGCUGGCUCCUCUAUGCUUUUCUUUUGAACUUUAGAAAAUGUUUCUUCUUUUUCCUCAGCUGUUACUACUUUGCUAUUAUCGUAAAUCCCUGUUGUGUUAAUGUUUUCUUUUUUUCUUUUUUUUUUUACAUCUUUUAGUGGUUCACUGUGUGUCUAAUCUCUUGGCUGCUUGCUUUGUUGAUGAUGUGGGAAUUUAAAGGAGUGGCUGGUCAUAUUCUGUUUCAUUUUGGACAUCUCCAACAAAUCCUACAAAAGACCAACACCAACAAUAGAUUGACAAGUAAAAAUAUUAUCUGUGUAGCCAAAGACUUAAAUAGCUUUUUCCUCUAUGCCAUAGAAAUCAAAAUAACUGUCCUCAAGACACUCUUGACUCCGGUUUUUAGUAACAUUUGCUAAAUAAAAAAAAGCACAGCGUACAACUGUUUUAUGAAAUUACUUUAAAACCCUUUGAAAGAAAUGUAAUUAUGUAUUUGUGACUGUUUUUUUUAAGAUUUAUGUCUUCAGUAGGAACAAAUGGGCUUUGUGUUGAAUGCAAAAGACGGGGCAGGGAGGGCAGAAAU
This is a long non-coding RNA of Sparus aurata (gilthead seabream), 3446 nucleotides long. NCBI's taxonomy places the organism in Eukaryota, Metazoa, Chordata, Actinopteri, Spariformes, Sparidae. The record is from Ensembl.